RNAcentral lists this ribosomal RNA (456 nucleotides) under uncultured Sphingobacteriales bacterium. Its description in RNAcentral is "bacterial SSU rRNA". It matches the Rfam family "Bacterial small subunit ribosomal RNA", at positions 929 to 1382 of the family's 1533-position model. Lineage: Bacteria; Pseudomonadati; Bacteroidota; Sphingobacteriia; Sphingobacteriales. The record is from RNAcentral.
GCGGUGAGCAGUGUGGUUUAAUUUCGAUGGUACGCGAGGAACCUUACCUGGGUUUGACAUACAACGGAAAGUGGUAGCGAUAUCACUGCGUCGCAAGACGACGUUGUACAGGUGCUGCAUGGCUGUCGUCAGCUCGUGCCGUGAGGUGUUGGGUUAAGUCCCGCAACGAGCGCAACCCUUAUCGUUAGUUGCCAUCUGGUAAUGCAGGGGACUCUAGCGAAACUGCCACCGUAAGGUGAGAGGAAGUGGGGAUGACGUCAAAUCAGCACGGCCCUUAUGUCCAGGGCUACACACGUGUUACAAUGGUCGGUACAGAGGGCAGCUACCUGGUGACAGGGUGCUAAUCUCGAAAACCGGUCUCAGUUCGGAUCGAAGUCUGCAACUCGACUUCGUGAAGCUGGAUUCGCUAGUAAUCGCGCAUCAGCUAUGGCCGCGGUCGAAUACGUUCCGGGCCUU